Molecule: long non-coding RNA, 29281 nt
Filed under: Triticum aestivum (bread wheat)
Lineage: Eukaryota; Viridiplantae; Streptophyta; Magnoliopsida; Poales; Poaceae
Description: long non-coding RNA (TAES_LNC020905)
Source: RNAcentral
GUUGCGCUACCUACCACUUGUUAUAUCAUGCCUCCCAUGUUGCCAUGUCAAGCCUCUAACCCACCUUCCUAGCAAACCGUUGUUUGGCUAUGUUACCCUUUUGCUCAGCCCCUCUUAUAGCGUUGCUAGUUGCAGGUGAAGUUGAAGUUUGUUCCAUGUUGGAACAUGGUUAUGUUGGGAUAUCACAAUAUAUCUUAUUUACUUUAAUGCAUCUAUAUACUUGGUAAAGGGUGGAAGGCUCGGCCUUUUGCCUGGUGUUUUGUUCCACUCUUGCCACCCUAGUUUCCUUCAUACCGGUAUUAUGUUCCUUGAUUUUGCGUUCCUUACACGGUUGAGUGUUAUGGGAACCCCUUGACAGUUUGCUUUGAAAAAAACUCCUCUAGUAAGGCCCAACCUUGUUUUUAACAUUUUCCACCUAAGCCUUUUCCCUUGGGUUUCGCGGACUCAAGGGUCAUCUUUAUUUCAAACCCCCAGGCCAGUUCUCCUCUGAGUGUUGGUCCAAACUGUCAACCGCCAGUGGCCACCAGGGGCAACUCUGGGCUGUCCUACUAGAAGUUUGGACAAUCCGGUGUGCCUUGAGAACGAGAUAUGUGUAGCUCCUAUCGGGAUUUGUUGGCACAGUCGGGCGGCUUUGCUGGUCUUGUUUUACCAUUGUCAAAAUGUCUUGUAACUGGGAUUCCGAGACUGAUCGGGUCUUUCCAGGAGAAGGAAUAUCCUUCAUUGACCGUGAGAGCUUGUGAUGGGCUAAGUUGGGACACGCCUGCAGGGUAUAAACUUUCGAGAGCCGUGCCUGUGGUUAUGUGGAAGAUGGGAAUUUCUUAAUAUCUGGUUGUAGAAAACUUGACACUUCACUUAGUAAAAAUGAAUCAACCGCGUGUGUAGCUGUGAUGGUCUCUUUUCGGCGGAGUCUGGGAAGUGAACACAGUAUUGUGUUAUGCUUGAACGUAAGUAGCUUCAGGAUCACUUCUUGAUAACUUCUAGCUUCUCGACCGUGCGUUGCUUCUCUUCUCGCUCUCAACUGCGUAUGUUAGCCACCAUAUAUGCUUAGUGCAUUGUUGCAGCUCCACCUCACUACCUUCUCCUACCCAUAAUCUUAAAUAGUCUUGAUCUCACGGGUGUGAGAUUGAUGAGUCCUCGUGACUCACGGAUACUUCCAAACAGUUGCAGGUGCCGAGGAUACCAGUGCAGGUGAUGCUACCAAACUCAAGUGGGAGUUCGAUGAGGAUCUGGGUUGUUGCCAUGUUUCGUUUCCUGAUGAUCAGUAGUGGAGCCCAGUUGGGACGAUGGGGGGUCUAGCAUUUGGGGUUGUCUUCCUUUAUUUUGGCCGUAGUCAGUCUUUGAGUGUAUUUGUUUGAUGUAUGAACUAUUUAUGUAUUGUGUGAAGUGGCGAUUGUAAGCCAACUCUUUAUCCCUUUCUUAUUCAAUACAUGGGAUUGUGUGAAGAUUACCCCUCUUCCGACAAAACUACCAUGCGGCUAUGCCUCUAAGUCGUGCCCCGACAGUGGGAGAUAUAGCCGCAUUGUGGGUGUUACAAGUUGGUAAUCAGAGCCAUCCCCGACUUAGGAUCCCCCUGCUUGAUCGAAUCGCUAACGUUGUUGAGUCUAGAACAAAAUGUUUUGAGUCUUAGGAUUAUAUAUAUCGGAGAGUAGAACUCUUUUUACUCCUUAGUCCCUUCGUCGCUCUGGUGAGGCCUCCUGACGUAGAAGUUUUGACUUCCCUCUCCUCAAAUUUCACGAUUUUUUUAGGAUCAUGCGGGUAUCUUGGAGUCGUUCUGAUAGUCUUGUGACGAGAACAUUGUUCUUGGUGCCUCCUGACAUUUAGGGGUUGUGGCAGUGUCCCGGGGAGUUGAGCUCCAAGGUGUUGUUGUCACAAUUUUAUUGUUGUAGUUCUGGAAUACCAGAGAUCGCCGGCAUCGAAAAUCUCUUUUAUGCAGUUGUUGGUGAGAUAACCUCGACGCCACCCAGUACUGGGGCAGGAGUUCGGGAGUAUUGCCAUGACUCGUAUAACAGAUGUUUUUCGAAUGUUGAGGUACAUGAUUUCCGAAGGUUUCUUGGUUAUGUGUUGAAGGAUGGAUACAGCCAGAUGUUGGAAUUGUUAGUUUGGGUGAGAUAUUAUGCUUCCCCUAUAUCCCCAACACCUAAUUGCAUAACCAGAAAGAUUCGGGAGUUUUAUAGGUGGGAAUUCAAGUAGCUCUAGUAUUUCUUCCCGUAGAUAUUUGGUUUGUGAUUGGGUAAUCCUUACCACUUAUUUGUUCAUAUCCAUACCAUGUUGCUUUGUUCAUCUACCUUUAUCUAAGUGGCUUCUCAACUUAAUGGACGUGUGAUGAUUUACUUUGGAAUUCAUUCGUUCAUCCUUGUUCAAAUGUUUAUUGUGAAGACUACAUGUUGCAAUUUCGAUCCAUUGAUUUAGCUUGUCUAUCUGUCUUUCAAGAUUCUAACGGAUGUCACCCUCUUCAGGAUGGCUCCUCCAACGCGUCAGAAUCCAGACCGCAAUGAUGGGGAUCAAUCGAACCCUCCGCCACCACCUCCACCUCCGGAGGCAUGGCAAGCCACCAAUGCCAACACUCAGAUGCUUUUGCAAAUCUUGCAAGAGCGCAACCAAGGUCAAGGCAGCCAAGGAAAUCAAGGACAAGGCAACAAUCAACCUCAAUUUGCUACCAUCAACCAGUUCCUCGCAAACCAGCCGAAGUCUUUCAGCAAAUGUGUCAAGGCCACAAACAUCGACGAUUGGCUCAUAGACAUCUGCAAGCAUUUUGAAUGUACCAAUGUCAGGUCUAAGGACUUUGUCAAGUUUGCUUCGUUUCAACUCAAGGACCAAGCUGCUGAGUGGUUUCAACAAUACAGAGAUUCCAGAGGAGGUCGUGUGAUUACCUGGGAUGGUUUCCGUCGAGACUUCAAAGCUCAUCACAUCCCACCAAGUGUUGCUGAGAGCAAGCGUGAGGAGUUCCGCAAUCUCAAGCAAGGCAGCAUGUCCGUGUAUCAAUACAAUAUCCAGUUUCAGAAACUUGCUCGCUUCGCUAAACAAGACAUUCCUGAUGAAAAGAGUAUGAUCUAUCAAUUCAGAGGUGGCCUCAGAGAAGAUCUGCAGUUAGCUCUCAUGCUUCUUGAGCCAACUAAGUUCGAUAAAUUCUAUAACAUGGCACUAAAGCAAGAAGCUGCUCAGCUCAAGUGUGAGGCUUCUAAGAAGAGAGUCAGGGAUGCAGUUCAAUCUUGUUCCUCAUCACAACUGGCAGCUAAGCAACAGAAGUUCUGGUUGCCUCCUCCUCCGUUUCGCCAGCCCUACCAGCAGAAGAGCAAAUGUGGCAAUGGAUCUUACCACCCACCCAACCCGGGCUAUCAGAACAAAGCUCAGUCUCAAACUCCAAGGUCAAGUGCUCCAUAUCAUCGUCCGCUCUCAGAGGUUACUUGCAACAAGUGUCAGCAGAAAGGGCACUAUGCAAACAAGUGAAGGAAAUAUGCCCUAGAGGCAAUGAUAAAGUUAUUAUUUAUUUCCUUAUAUCAUGAUAAAUGUUUAUUAUUCAUGCUAGAAUUGUAUUAACCGGAAACAUAAUACUUCUGUGAGUACAUAGACAAACAAAGUGUCACUAGUAUGCCUCUACUUGACUAGCUCGUUAAUCGAAGAUGGUUAUGUUUCCUAAACCAUAAACAAAAGAGUUGUUAUUUGAUUAACGGGAUCACAUCAUUAGGAGAAUGAUGUGAUUGACAUGACCCAUUCCAUUAGCUUAGCACCCGAUUGUUUAGUAUGUUGCUAUUGCUUUCUUCUUGACUUAUACAUGUUCCUAUGACUAUGAGAUUAUGCAACUCCCGUUUGCCGGAGGAACUCUUUGUGUGCUACCAAACGUCACAACGUAACUGGGUGAUUAUAAAAGAGCUCUACAGGUGUCUCCAAAGGUACAUGUUGGGUUGGCGUAUUUCGAGAUUAGGAUUUGUCACUCCGAUUGUCGGAGAGGUAUCUCUGGGCCCUCUCGGUAAUGCACAUCACAUAAGCCUUGCAAGCAUUGCAACUAAUGAGUUAGUUGUGAGAUGAUGUAUUACGGAACGAGUAAAGAGACUUACCGGUAACGAGAUUGAACUAGGUAUUAAGAUACCGACGAUCGAAUCUCGGGCAAGUAACAUACCGAUGACAAAGGGAACAACGUAUGUUGUUAUGCGGUCUGACCGAUAAAGAUCUUCGUAGAAUAUGUAGGAGCCAAUAUGGGCAUCCAGGUCCCGCUAUUGGUUAUUGACCGGAGACGUGUCUCGGUCAUGUCUACAUUAUUCUCGAACCGUAGGGUCCGCACGCUUAAGGUUUCGAUGACAGUUAUAUUAUGAGUUUAUGAGUUUUGAUGUACCGAAGGAGUUCGGAGUCCCGGAUGAGAUCGGGGACAUGACGAGGAGUCUCGAAAUGGUCGAGACGUAAAGAUCGAUAUAUUGGACGACUAUAUUUGGACAUCGGAAAGGUUCCGAGUGAUUCAGAUAUUUUUCGGAGUACUGGGUAGUUACGGGAGAAGCAAUGGGCCUUGAUGGGCUUUAGUGGGAAGAGGAAAAAGGGCCAAGGGGCUGCUGCGCCCCCCCCCCCUCCCCUCUAGUCCGAAUUGGACUAGGGAAAAGGGGGCCGGCCACCUUUCCUUCUCCUCUACUUCCUUCUCCCUUCCUCCCCUCUUGGUGGACUCCUGCUAGGACUUGGAGUCCUAGUAGGACUCCACAUCCUGGCCGCACCAAUUGCCUUGGCCGGCCUCCUCCUCCUCCUCCAUCCUUUAUAUACUGAGGCAAGGGGCACCCCAUGAACACAAGUUGAUCUUCGUGAUCGUUCCUUAGCCGUGUGCGGUGCCCCCCUCCACCAUAUUCCACCUCGGUCAUAUUGUAGCGGUGCUUGGGCGAAGCCCUGCGACGAUAGAACAUCAAGAUCGUCACCACACCGUCAUGCUGACGGAACUCCUCCCCGACGCUUUGCUGGAUCGGAGCCCGGGGAUCGUCAUCGAGAUGAACGUGUGCCAAGAACUCGGAGGUGCCGGAGUAACGGUGCUUGGAUCAGUCGGAUCGUGAAGACGUACGACUACAUCAACCGCGUUGUCACAAUGCUUCCGCUGUCGGUCUACAAGGGUACGUAGAUCACACUCUUCCCCCUCAUUGCUAUGCAUCACCACGAUCUUGCGUGUGCGUAGGAAAUUUUUUGAAAUUACUAUGUUCCCCAACAGUGGCAUCCGAGCCUAGGUUUUAUGUGUUGAUGUUUUUGCACGAGUAGAACACAAGUGAGUUGUGGGCGAUAUAAGUCAUACUGCUUACCAGCAUGUCAUACUUUGGUUCGGCGGUAUUGUUGGACGAAGCGGCCCAGACCAACAUUACGUGUACGCUUACGCGAGACCGGUUCUCCCGACGUGCUCUGCGCAUAGGUGGCUUGCGGGUGACAGUUUCUCCAACUUUAGUUGAACCAAGUGUGGCUACGCCCGGUCCUUGCGAAGGUUAAAACAGCACCAACUUGACAAACUAUCAUUGUGGUUUUGAUGCGUAGGUAAGAUUGGUUCUUGCUUAAGCCCGUAGCAGCCACGUAAAACUUGCAACAACAAAGUAGAGGACGUCUAACUUGUUUUUGCAGGGCAUGUUGUGAUGUGAUAUGGUCAAGACAUGAUGCUAAAUUUUUAUUGUAUGAGAUGAUCAUGUUUUGUAACCGAGUUAUCGGCAACUGGCAGGAGCCAUAUGGUUGUCGCUUUAUUGUAUGCAAUGCAAUCGCGCUGUAAUGCUUUACUUUAUCACUAAGCGGUAGCGAUAGUCAUGGAAGCACAAGCUUGGCGAGACGACAACGAUGCUACGAUGGAGAUCAAGGUGUCGCGCCGGUGAUGAUGGUGAUCAUGAUGGUGCUUCGGAGAUGGAGAUAACAAGCACAAGAUGAUGGCCAUAUCAUAUCACUUAUAUUGAUUGCAUGUGAUGUUUAUCUUUUAUGCAUCUUAUCUUGCUUAGAUUGACGGUAGCAUUAUAAGAUGAUCUCUCACAAAUUAUCAAGAAGUGUUCUCCCUGAGUAUGCACCAUUGCGAAAGUUCUUCGUGCUGAGACACCACAUGAUGAUCGAGUGUGAUAGGCUCUAUGUUCAAAUACAACGGGUGCAAAACAGUUGCACACGCGGAAUACUCAGGUUAUACUUGACGAGCCAAGCAUAUACAGAUAUGGCCUCGGAACACGGAGACCAAAAGAUCGAGCGUGAAUCAUAUAGUAGAUAUGAUCAACAUAGUGAUGUUCACCAAUGAAACUACUCCAUCUCACGUGAUGAUCGGACAUGGUUUAGUUGAUUUGGAUCACGUAAUCACUUAGAGGAUUAGAGGGAUGUCUAUCUAAGUGGGAGUUCUUAAGUAAUAUGAUUAAUUGAACUUAAAUUUAUCAUGAACUUAGUCCUGGUAGUAUUUUGCAAAUUAUGUUGUAGAUCAAUAGCUCGCGUUGUUGCUUCCCUGUGUUUAUUUUGAUAUGUUCCUAGAGAAAAUUGUGUUGAAAGAUGUUAGUAGCAAUGAUGCGGAUUGGAUCCGGGAUCUGAGGUUUAUCCUCAUUGCUGCACAGAAGAAUUAUGUCCUUGAUGCACCACUAGGUGACGGACCUAUUGCAGGAGCAGAUACAGACGUUAUGAACGUUUGGCUAGCUCAAUAUGAUGACUACUUGAUAGUUUAGUGCACCAUGCUUAAUGGCUUAGAAUCGGGACUUCAAAGACGUUUUGAACGUCAUGGAGCAUAUGAGAUGUUCCAGGAGUUGAAGUUAAUAUUUCAAGCAAAUACCCGAGUUGAGAGAUAUGAAGUCUCCAACAAGUUCUAUAGCUAAAAGAUGGAGGAGAAUCGCUCAACUAGUGAGCAUGUGCCCAGAUUGUCUGAGUACUACAAUCGCUUGAAUCAAGUGGGAGUUAAUCUUCCAGAUAAGAUAGUGAUUGACAGAAUUCUCUAGUCACCAUCACCAAGUUAGUAGAACUUCGUGAUGAACUAUGAUAUGCAAGGGAUAACGGAAACGAUUCCCAAGCUCUUCGUAAUGCAGAAAUUGACGAAGGUAGAAAUCGAGAAAAACAUCAAGUGUUGAUGGUAGACAAGACCACUAGUUUCGAGAAAAGGGCAGAGGAAAGAAGGGGAACUUCAAGAAGAACAGCAAGCAAGUUGCUUCUCAAGUGAAGAAGCCCAAGUCUGAUCCUAAGCCUGAGACUAAGUGUUUCUACUGCAAAGGGACUGGUCACUGGAAGCGGAACUACCCCAAGUGAUUGGCAGAUAAGAAGGAUGGCAAAGUGAACAUAAGUAUAUUUGAUACACAUAUUAUUGAUGUGUACUUUACUAGUGUUUAUAGCAACCCCUCAGUAUUUGAUACUAAUUCAGUUGCUAAGAUUAGUAACUUGAAACGGGAGUUGCAGAAUAAACAGAGACUAGUUAAGGGUGAAGUGAUGAUGUGUGUUGGAAGUGGUUCCAAGAUUGAUAUGAUCAUCAUCGCACACUCCCUAUACUUUCGGGAUUAGUGUUGAACCUGAAUAAGUGUUAUUUGGUGUUUGCGUUAAGCAUGAAUAUGAUUUGAUCAUGUUUAUUGUAAUACGGUUAUUCAUUUAAGUAAGAGAAUAAAUUGUUGUUCUGUUUACAUGAAUAAAACCUUAUAUGGUUACACACCCAAUGAAAAUAGUUCGUUGGAUCUCAAUCGUAGUCAUAAUCAUAAUAUUGAAACCAAAAGAUGCAAAGUUAAUAAUGAUAGUGCAACUUAUUUGUAGCACUGCCGUUUAGGUCAUAUUGGUGUAAAGCGCAUGAAGAAACUCCAUGCUGAUGGGAUUUUGGAAUCACUUAAUUAUGAAUCACUUGAUGCUUGCGAACCAUGCCUCAUGGGCAAGAUGACUAAGACUCCGUUCUCCGGAGCGAGCAACUGACUUAUUAGAAAUAAUACAUACUGAUGUAUGCGGUCCGAUGAGUGUUAAGGCUCAUGGCAAGUAUCGUUAUUUUCUGAACUUCACAGAUGAUUUGAGCAGAUAUGGGUAUAUCUACUUGAUGAAACAUAAGUCUGAAACAUUUGAAAAGUUCAAAGAAUUUCAGAGUGAAGUGGAAAAUCAUCGUGACAAAGAAAAUAAAGUUUCUACGAUUUGAUCGCGGAGACAAAUAUUUGAGUUACGAGUUUGUUCUUCAAUUAAAACAAUGUGGAAUAGUUUCACAAACUCAUGCCACAUGGAACACCACAGCAUAAUGGUGUGUCCGAACGUCAUAACCGUACUUUAUUGGAUAUAGUGCAAUCUAUGAUGUCUCUUACCGAUCUACCACUAUCAUUUUGGGGUUAUGCAUUAGAGACAGCUGCACUCACGUUAAAUAGGGCACCAUCUAAAUCCAUUGAGACGACACCAUAUGAACUAUGGUUUGGCAAGAAACCUAAGCUGUCGUUUCUUAAAGUUUGGGACUGCGAUGCUUAUGUGAAAAGGUUUCAACAUGAUAAGCUCGAACCCAAAUCGGAGAAGUAGAUCUUCAUAGGAUAUCCAAAGGAAACUAUUGGAUACACCUUCUAUCACAGAUCCGAAGGCAAGACUUUUGUUGCUAAAUUCGGAAACUUUCUAGAGAAGGAGUUUCUCUCGAAAGAAGUGAGUGGGAGGAAAGUAGAACUUGAUGAGGUAACUGUACCUGCUCCCUUAUUGGAAAGUAGUUCAUCACAGAAAUCUGUUCCUGUGACUACUACACCAAUUAGUGAGGAAGCUAAUGAUGAUGAUCAUGCAACUUCAGAUCAAGUUACUACCGAAUCUCGUAGGUAAACCAGAGUGAGAUCCGCACCAGAGUAGUACAGUAAUCCUGUUCUGGAAGUCAUGUUACUAGACCAUGACGAACUUGCGAACUAUGAGAAGCGAUGAUGAGCCCAGAUUCCGCGAAAUGGUUUGAGGCCAUAAAAUCUGAGAUAUGAUCCAUGUAUGAGAACAAAGUAUGGACUUCGAUGGAUUUGUCCGAUGAUCGGCAAGCCAUAGAAAAUAAAUGGAUCUUCAAGAGGAAGACGGACGCUGAUAGUAGUGUUACUAUCUAUAAAGCUAGAAUUUUCGCAAAAGGUUUUCGACAAGUUCAAGGUGUUGACUAUGAUGAGAUUUUCUCACUCGUAUAUAUGCUUAAGUCUAUCCGAAUCAUGUUAGCAAUUGCCGCAUUUUAUGAAAUCUGGCAAAUGGAUAAACAAAACUGCAUUCCUUAAUGGAUUUCUUAAAGAAGAGUUGUAUAUGAUGCAACCAGAAGGUUUUGUUAAUCCUAAAGGUGUUAACAAAAUAUGCAAGCUCCAACGAUCCAUCUAUGGACUGGUGCAAGCAUCUCGGAGUUGGAAUAUACGCUUUGAUAAGUUGAUCAAAGCAUAUAGUUUUAUACAGACUUACGGUGAAGCCUGUAUUUACAAGAAAGUGAGUGGGAGCACUACAACAUUUCUGAUAAGUAUAUGUGAACAACAUAUUGUUGAUCGGAAAUAAUGUAUAAUUUUCUGGAAAGCAUAAAGGAAUAUUUGAAAGGAGUUUUUCAAAGAAAGACAUCGGUAAGGCUGCUUACAUAUUGAGCAUCAAGAUCUAUAGAGAUAGAUCAAGACGCUUGAUAAGUUUUUCAAUGAGUACAUACCUUGACAAGAUUUUGAAGUAGUUCAAAAAUGGAACAGUCAAAGAAAGAGUUCCUGCCUGUGUUGCAAGGUGUGAAAUUGAGUAAGACUCAAAGCCCGACCACAGCAGAAGAUAGAAAUAGAAUGAAAGUCAUUCCCUAUGCCUCAGCCAUAGGUUCUAUAAAGUAUGCCAUGUUGUGUACCAGAUCUAUUGUAUACCAUACACUGUGUUAAGCAAGGGAGUACAAUAGUGAUCUAAGAGUAAAUCACUGGACAUCGGUCAAAAUUAUCCUUAGUGGAAUAAGGAAAUAUUUCUCAAUUAUGGAGGUGACAAAAAGGUUCGUUGUAAAAAGUUACGUCGAUGCAAGUUUUGACACAGAUCUGGAUGACUCUAAGUCUCGAUCUAGAUACAUAUUGAAAGUGGGAGCAAUAAGCUAGAGUAGCUCCGUGCAGAGCAUUGUUGACAUAGAAAUUCGCAAAAUACUUAUGGAUCUAAAUAUGACAGACCCGUUGACUAAAAUUAUCUCACAAGCAAAACAUGAUCACACCUUAGUACUCUUUGGGUGUUAAUCACAUAGCGAUGUGAACUAGAUUACUGACUCUAGUAAACCCUUUGGGUGUUGAUCACAUAUCGAUGUGAACUAUGGGUGUUAAUCACAUGGUGAUGUGAACUAUUGCUGUUAAAUCACAUGGCGAUGUGAACUAGAUUAUUGACUCUAGUGCAAGUGGGAGACUGAAGGAAAUAUGCCCUAGAGGCAAUGAUAAAGUUAUUAUUUAUUUCCUUAUAUCAUGAUAAAUGUUUAUUAUUCAUGCUAGAAUUGUAUUAACCGGAAACAUAAUACUUGUGUGAAUACAUAGACAAACAAAGUGUCACUAGUAUGCCUCUACUUGACUAGCUCGUUAAUCGAAGAUGGUUAUGUUUCCUAAACCAUAAACAAAUGAGUUGUUAUUUGAUUAACGGGAUCACAUCAUUAGGAGAAUGAUGUGAUUGACAUGACCCAUUCCAUUAGCUUAGCACCCGAUUGUUUAGUAUGUUGCUAUUGCUUUCUUCAUGACUUAUACAUGUUCCUAUGACUAUGAGAUUAUGCAACUCCCGUUUGCCAGAGGAACUCUUUGUGUGCUACCAAACGUCACAACGUAACUGGGUGAUUAUAAAGGAGCUCUACAGGUGUCUCCAAAGGUACAUGUUGGGUUGGCGUAUUUCGAGAUUAGGAUUUGUCACUCCGAUUGUCGGAGAGGUAUCUCUGGGCCCUCUCGGUAAUGCACAUCACAUAAGCCUUGCAAGCAUUGUAACUAAUGAGUUAGUUGUGAGAUGAUGUAUUACGGAAUGAGUAAAGAGACUUACCGGUAAUGAGAUUGAACUAGGUAUUAAGAUACCGACGAUCGAAUCUCGGGUAAGUAACAUACCGAUGACAAAGGGAACAACGUAUGUUGUUAUGCGGUCUGACCGAUAAAGAUCUUCGUAGAAUAUGUAGGAGCCAAUAUGGGCAUCCAGGUCCCGCUAUUGGUUAUUGACCGGAGACGUGUCUCGGUCAUGUCUACAUUAUUCUCGAACCGUAGGGUCCGCGCGCUUAAGGUUUCGAUGACAGUUAUAUUAUGAGUUUAUGAGUUUUGAUGUACCGAAGGAGUUCGGAGUCCCAGAUGAGAUCGGGGACAUGACGAGGAGUCUCGAAAUGGUCGAGACGUAAAGAUCGAUAUAUUGGACGACUAUAUUUGGACAUCGGAAAGGUUCCGAGUGAUUCGGGUAUUUUUCGGAGUACCGGGUAGUUACGGGAGAAGCAAUGGGCCUUCAUGGGCUUUAGUGGGAAGAGGAAAAAGGGCCAAGGGGCUGCUGCGCCCCCCUCCCCUCUAGUCCGAACUGGACUAGGGAAAAGGGGGUCGGCCACCUUUCCUUCUCCUCUACUUCCUUCUCCCUUCCUCCCCUCUUGGUGGACUCCUACUAGGACUUGGAGUCCUAGUAGGACUCCACAUCCUGGCCGCACCAAUUGCCUUGGCCGGCCUCCUCCUCCUCCUCCAUCCUUUAUAUACUGAGGCAAGGGGCACCCCAUGAACACAAGUUGAUCUUCCUGAUCGUUCCUUAGCCGUGUGCGGUGCCUCCCUCCACCAUAUUCCACCUCAGUCAUAUUGUAGCGGUGCUUGGGCGAAGCCCUGCGACGAUAGAACAUCAAGAUCAUCACCACGCCGUUGUGCUGACGGAACUCCUCCCCGACGCUUUGCUGGAUCGGAGCCCGGGGAUCGUCAUCGAGCUGAACGUGUGCCAAGAACUCGGAGGUGCCGGAGUAACGGUGCUUGGAUCGGUCGGAUCGUGAAGACGUACAACUACAUCAACCGCGUUGUCACAACGCUUCCGCUGUCGGUCUACAAGGGUACGUAGAUCACACUCUUCCCCUCGUUGCUAUGCAUCACCAUGAUCUUGCGUGUGCGUAGGAUUUUUUUUGAAAUUACUACGUUCCCCAACAACAAGUGCUUCAACCAAAGGUGUCGGGGAUAUACCCCGCGGUAUGACCCGGCCGGAAGUAUGACCCGGCCGGACUUGGCGGCUCACUAGAGACCCGGCGAUAUUUGGUGACUUACUGAUGACCCCGACGCCGGGUCGGAUGGAUGACAAGACCCAAGGCCCAAAAAGUCGGUUCAUGUGAUGGUGGGCCGGCUUAAGAGAAAAGGUGUAAGGAAUAUUCUCCUACAAAGGAAGCAAGACUAGGACUCCACUUGUAAUAGAGUAAUCCUAAUCCUAAAAGGACUAGUCAUGUAAGCCGCCCCUUCAACACAUAUAAGGAGGGGCAGGGCACCCCAAGAGGGACAAGUUUUCGUAAGUUUCACAAGUUAGGUUUAGACAGACAAGUCAAUAGCUCUCGAGAUAGAGCACCCUUGUAAUCAUGAUCAUCAUCAUGAAUAUUAAUGAAGCAGGAUGUAAGCUUUUACCUCCACCGUGAGGGGCCGAACCUGGGUAAAAGCCUCGCGUCUCUCGUCUCGUUCAACCCCUCUCAAGCUACCACAUAGAUGCGUUGGCCUCACGACUAAGUCCUCACAUUAGGACAUCUGCUGUGACAAUUCCACGACAGUUGGCGCCCACCGUGGGGCUCGCACGGUGGUGAUGAGUUCUUGGAGGGAUCUUUCCAGGAUCGAGAAGCUCGCAAUUUCUUUUCUGAUGAAGAAGAGCCGGCGUGGAACAAUCACGCAGGGUAACUUGACUCACACAACCUCGAGCGGAGCCAAUGAUAUUCAUCGUAUUAAGAUCAGAGUCAUGAUUAAACUUCAGAGCCAUCAGUUUUUCCUUCUCGGAUACGAGACGUAUACUUCAGAGCUGUGGCCAAGUCGCUGCAAUCUUUGUUUUCCGCCAAUCGACAUGAAGCUUCCAAAAAAAUGGGAAGACACAUCUGUUUGUAUGAGUCAACAGUAGUAGUCAUACUAUUUCACUUAGUACUCUGCCAUGUGAUGGCCAAGUUGAUCCACAGCUCCAAAUAUUUUAUUGGCCCAAAACUGCUACAUCGGGAGUCAGACAAUUCAUCAUAGUACUAGGAGGUGUUUGGUUCAGAAGUCCUAGGACUUUUUCUAGUCCCAGGGACUAAUCAAAAAAGACUCUAUAGUAGAGUCUUUUUCUAGUCCCUGUAGAAAAAGUCCCCCCCGUUUGGUUCCUAGGGACUUUUUAGGGACUUUUUCUAGUCUCUGGAACUAAAAAGUCGCUGAACCAAACACCCCCUUGUUGUUGCUAGUACACGAGUGGAGAAGGAAAAAGGCCGUGGAUCAGCAAAGUAAAACCGAGGUGACAUCUCUCCUACUUGAGUUCCUUAUGAAUUUGGAUGAGGGUUGCUCCAAUAGGAUGGCGCUCCCGCGAGUCGACCGCCGACCGCCGGAUAUGGCCGGGGUCAGUCGUCCGCCGGGGUCCACGACCCCGCUCGCGACCUGCUUCACUUUGGGAGACACGCGGUGGCGGAUCAUGUUCGCCCUGGAUCUCAUGGCGGCGCGCUCCAUCACUUUCGCCGUCGGCGAGCUUCUUCUCCGUCACGACGCGCUUUGCUUGGUGCUUCUCGACGAUCACGACAGCACGGUGGACGCCUGAUCCCUACGCAUCGAUGAAGUGAUUGGCAUCGCGUACAUCGUUCCCUUCCCUUGUCAUUUUGCUAGGGUUUGGGAUCGUCUUCCUCCCCCUAAUCCUACGGUUCGACCACCGGAGCGUCGUGGCGCCGGCGCGGCCGCGCGCGGCGAGCCACUGCGCUCACAUGAGGGGGCCGGGUUGCUGGGGGUGGUUCAGGGAAAUCGACUCGAUACCCCCCCCUCCUGGCCAGUCCGGGGAUCCUGGGGCGUCGACCGGCUGAAAACCGCUCCACCCCCCGGAUCUGGGACACGUGGGGACUGAUGGAUCCGACCGCCAUGAUCAGGCCGCAACUAGGGUUUCGUCCCCUCCUCCUGUUAUAAGUCGCCGCGCCGCUACUUUGCGUCCCCCCAUUUUGGAUCUGGAAGAAUGUCUUAACCAUUUCUGGGAGAAGCCGGAGAGAGAGAAACCUAGGGUUCGUCCUUCCUUUGGCUGGUGGGAGGGGAAAAUCCGUGGUGAUCUUCGAUCAUUCGCUCAAGUUGCCUCCUCCUUCCCACCUAAAUUUGCUACUUUCCCUCCCUGUGAAACACCUAAGAUGAGAGAAGAGGGGUUCGGCGCGGGUCGUCAUGGCCGCGGCGCAGGCCGUUUCAACCGGGGUGAAGGGCGAGGCCGUGGCGAUGGCGGCCGCGGCCGCUUUGAAGGUGGCGGCGGGGGACGGGGGGCGUGGCCGUGAUAGCCAUGUCUGGACCCGCAAGACGGCGAUGGGGGCCUCCUCCUCCAACACUCCGGCCAGAUCUGAUGAGGUUGGCUUCGAUCGUUGGGAGAAAGCUGUCGGAGCGCAGCAGGAUGAUCUGGUCCAUCAAGAUCGAUGCAGGGCCGAGAGAGAUGGCUCAAACCCUCGCAACAAUGACAAGAUUCCCUCUCCUGACAAGAUGCAUGAGCUUCCUUUUAUCCCUGAUCAUUUGGUCAUCUCCUCUGUGCUUUGUCAAAUUUGUAGUCAUACGGGGCAUUCCACUGCCAAGUGUCCCCAAGCUCUCUGUGUUAGAUGCAAAAAGAAAGGCCAUCUAUCUGUGAUCUGCACUGAUUUCCUGCCCUGGGAGUGCAUACCUGCGAUGUGCGCUUUCCAAGCCAAAGGGCAGGGGUUUCACUAUAUUCAUGAUUAUUCUGUUGGUAGUCAGGCUAAUGAGAGGAUAGUCAAGGUCAUUAUUACUAUUGUUGAAGGGGAGCUUACCACCAAACAGCUAGUAGAUGAGUUUGAAAAGUAUAUUGGUCAGGGGUGGAGAUGUUCGGCUCACUUGAUUGCCCCAAAACAAUAUGUGAUGCGUUUUCCUAAUCAAAUAGAGGUGGAUAAAGCUCUGUUUGUUGAAUAUAUUCCUCUUAAAUCUUUGGGUGUGGUUGUCCGUAUUACUCCUCGGUAUGAGGAUGUAGAAUCUGAGGGUCUGCUGGAAGUUGAUUGGGUUAAAAUCAGUAAGAUCCCACCUAACAAAAGAUGUGACAAUAAUGUGGCUUACAUUGGGGGACUGGUUGGGGUGACCCUAGACAUUGAUAUGUCGACCCUCAAUCGUCCUUCUUCUGUGCGUGUCAAACUGGGAUGCCGUGAGGUUGAUAAGAUGCCCAGAUCAGCUGAAGGAUGUUUAGGGGGGCGGUUCUAUCGCUUUCAUUAUGAGGUUGAAGAGGUCCUGGUGAGAAAUGCCAUUCGUGAGGAAGAACCUGUUCAGGUCCCACAUUACGCUGUCCUGAAGAAUGGUACUCCUAAACGCAAACGGAAUGAUACCCCCCCUAGUGAGCAUGACAAGCCCUCAGAGAGGACUGAAAAAGCUAAAACCUCCUCCUAUAGUGGCGGCAAAGCCUGUCGCUUGCCAUCACCUAAGGACGAGGAUCAGAUCCAUGCUGACAGUUCUUCUUCUGAAAGUGAUAAUGGUGGUGCUAACAGCCCUUUGCUGAUUGAGACACUGGCCUUGGAAAUGGCUACUGAUACAACGCAUCAAGGGGGUGGGCACUUGCUGUCCCAGAGUGACACCCGCAAGCAUGAUCCUGUUGAUCAUGUGGUUGCUAGUGAUCACUCUUUGCAGGUGAAUGUUUUGCCUGUUAGUACUUCUCCUAUUUUAGCUUCUUUCUCAGUUACUAAUUCAGCUCAGAUUUCUGUGGUGGUUGGAUACGAGGGAUCAGACUUGAAGGUGUCCAUGGACUACACGGUACAGCUUCCUCAAACUAACCGCGAGGAGAUUACUCCUACACCCCCUCUCGCACGUGAACUUCACCUUCGAUUCAGUCAGCGCAACCCUCACCUCCAGCAUAUGAAUGUGGAAGCAAGGGCUGCAAACCUGAUCAACGCCAAAAAUCUGACAGGUAAAAGCAAACCCAGUAAUAACAAUGCCUUUGCUGCUCUUGCUGAUUCUGAACUUAUUAGCCGUGCUUCCAAGAUGGGGGUCCUAAUCCCUGAUAAUGAUUUCUCUUGUGUUAACAUUGUGAGGGAAUUAGAGGCUGUUAGAGCCAAUCUGAUUGCUAAAUGUACAAACCCCCAGGUUACUAUUGAUGAAGUGUUUGUUACUGAUGGACUUGGCAAAGAUACCCCCCUGAAUUUAACUUGGCUUGAUGAAGAUGAGAUUGCCAAUGAUAAGUUAGUUAAGUCCAAGUCAGCUAAAAAAAGUAAGAAAAAGAUAGACAAUAAAUUCCUAUGCCUGUGACUAGGAGUCAAAACAAGAAGAAGGACGGUGCUGAUGUUUCUGGUGUCUCUACCCUGUCUAGUAGGGUCACCAGAACCAGGAAACAAACUAAUUGUUCCAAAUGAGUGGUCUCAUUUGGAACUGCAGAGGGGUGGGCAAGAAGGGAAUGGCCACCUGCCUCUCUGAUAUCAUCAGUGACCAUUCCGUGGAUUUCCUUGGGUUGCAAGAAACUUUGAAAAAAUAUUUUACUCCUAAACUCCUUAGAAAACUUGAUCCCUUUAAUUCUUUCCAUUGGGAAUGGAUUCCUGCUAUCGGGAAAUCUGGGGGCAUCCUCUGUGGUGUUCGCAUCAGCAACCUGGAGUUGCUGAAAUGCAUUAAAGGGGAUUAUGUUCUGCAAAUGCAUGUUAGAGACCUCAAGACCAAAAAAAUCUGGAGCUUCCUAGUGGUUUAUGGUCCAGCUCAUGAGGAACACAUGGGAGAGUUCUUGAUGGAGCUGGCCACCUUUUGCCAUAACACUGACGUUCCCUAUAUAGUUGGGGGUGACUUCAAUAUUCUGAGACAUACUGAUGAGAAAAACAAAAAGAUGCACAGAUCUAAAUCUGUUGAUCUUUUCAAUUCAACCAUUAACACUCUUGGGCUUAGAGAAAUCUAUAUGAGUGGUGGUAAAUACACCUGGUCCAAUAAACAAUCCCACCCUACGCUCGAAAAACUUGAUCGGGUAUUAAUGUCUGACUCUUGGGAGGAGAUGUUUCCCUUGGUCUUUAUGAGGAAAUUGGUUAGGGAACUGUCUGACCACAAUCCUCUUUUGCUCUACCCUAAUGGAGAAAAAAGGGCACCUACUAAAGCCCGAGAGUUUCGCUUUGAUCUAUCCUGGCUAAAGGAUGACAGAUUCCUCGGCCUUGUAUCUAAAAUCUGGAAUAGAAAGGUUGCUGCCCCGGAUCCCAUCGACAUCCUAAACAUCAAACUGAAAAGAUUUAAAUCUUACUUCAAGGGGUGGGGCUCGGAUAAGUUUGGACAUGCCAAGAGAUGGAAAGAAGACCUACGAUUGGAGGUUGAGCUGCUGGAAGAGGCAGAGGAGGAGGGCCCCCUUUCGCCCGAGCUAUACGGUAGGAAAACUGAUGUUUGUUUUGAGCUCCAUGAGCUGCUUGUCGCUGAAGAAAUCUACUGGCUUCAGCAGUCUCACGAACGCUGGCUACUCCGAGGGGACCGCAAUAUGGAUUACUUUCAUAAGAUUGCCAAUGGCCGUAAACGGAAAAACACUAUCCACGCUCUCAAGUGUGGGGAGGUGGAGAUUGAGGGCAUUGAUAACCUGUUGGCCCACGCUACUAACUUCUAUAAAGAUCUCUUUGGCCCUGCACCAGGUAACCUGUUUCGUCUGGACCCUAAUACUUGGGGAGAGGAUGAAAAACUCUCGGCCCAGGAUAAUUUUGAUCUAAUUAGAGAAUUCUCUGAGGAAGAGGUCAAAGAGGCUUUAUUUGACAUGGAUGUCAACAGAGCACCAGGGCCUGAUAACAUUCCUGCUGAAUUUUAUCAGUACUGUUGGGAUAUAGUUAAAAAUGAUAUCAUGAGGCUUUUUGACAGCUUCCACACAGGCACACUGGAUGUGCAGCGCCUUAACUAUGGCAUUAUCACCUUGCUCCCUAAAGUCUCGGGGGCUGAUCGUAUACAACAAUUUCGACCUAUCUGCCUUCUUCGUUGUCCCUACAAGUUGAUCACCAAGGUUAUGGAUAGGAGAGUUUCUAGGUACGCUGACAUCCUUAUCAGUCCCACUCAGAAUGCCUUUGUAAAAGGCAGAAGCAUUAUGGAUGGGUUGUUGGCUCUCCACGAACUUCUCAACUAUACCCAUGUCAAAAAGAGGGUCGGGGUGGUCCUCAAACUUGAUUUCGAAAAAGCCUACGAUAAAGUCAAUUGGGACUUCCUACUUGAGUGUCAUAAGAUGCGAGGCUUUGAUCCCAAAUGGUGUAGCUGGGUUGAGCAAAUCCUUCGCAAUGGCACAGUCAGCAUCAAGUUGAAUAAUUGUGUCGGGCCCUAUUUCCGAAGUGCUAAAGGGGUACGCCAGGGGGACCCAUAUUCUCCUUUCUUGUUUAAUAUGGAUGUGGAAUGCCUCACUAAAAUGAUCAAGAAUGCCCAGAACAAUAAUCUCAUUGUUGGGUUAGCUUUGGAUCUUAUUCCACAUGGAGUUGCGGUGCUGCAAUAUGCAGACGACACGAUCAUCUGUCUAGAGCACGAUAUGGAAAAGGCCGUUAAUCUUAAACUCCUGUUGUACGCUUUUGAAAUGAUGUCUGGCCUCAAGGUUAAUUUUCACAAGAGUGAGAUCUUAACCGUUGGGGGGAUGCCCAGACUACUAAGGCUUAUGCUAAGCUAUUCAAUUGCGAUAUAGGUCAAUUCCCUUUUAAAUAUUUGGGCAUGCCAGUGAGCUACACGGCUUUGAGAAACUCUAACUGGGAUUUCAUAGUUGAUAAAUAUCUCCUUAGAUUUGAUGCCUGGGUUGGUAAUACUGCUUAUAUGGGAGGGAGACACACCCUUCUAGACUCAAUAGUUACUCAACUCUCUCUGUACCACAUAUCUAUGUGGCUGAUGAACGAAACUUUUGUGAAAAAAUUGGACAAACAUAGAAGAAGAUUCUUCUGGCAAGGGUGUAUUAAAAAACGGAGAUAUCACUUGAUCAGAUGGAACAAGAUAUGUAGAUCUAAAGAGAAAGGGGGGCUGGGUAUUAAAGACCUACGCAAACAAAAUAUUAAUCUGAUGCUCAAGUGGUGGUGGAAGUUAGACACCCAGAAAGGGAUAUGGCAAGAUAUUGUUCGGGCUAGAUACCUUCGCAACCAAACCGUUGCAACUGUUAGCCCUCGUUUUUCUGAUUCACCCUGUUGGAAAAACUUGCUGAAAAUCAAAAACCUAUAUAUGAUAGGCAGGAAACUGUGUGUAGGGAAAGGUAACCUAACCAGGUUAUGGAAAGACUCUAUCAAUGGGUUAACGCCUUUCCAAGAACAAUUCCCAUGCCUGUUUGAUAUUUGUGUUGAUCAAGAUUGUACACUAGAUAAGCUAAGCUCCAUAACCUGUUCUAGCUUUUUCCGCAGAAGAUUGAAUGCUGAUUUGAUAGACCAGUGGUCUAACCUUCAAGGGCAGGUGCGCAAUUUGAACUUACCGAAUACCCCUGACUCGGUAUAUUGGUACAUGAAUAAAUCUGGCAAAUAUACUACCAAAUCCAUGUAUAAAUGGCUCGAAAAGCCCCUUAGUGGCUGAAACUAUAGAUGGAUUUGGAAGGCCAAGAUCCCUCUGAAGAUACAAAUCUUUCUUUGGCAACUUUCACAAGACGCCAUCCUGACUAGGUAGGUGAUGCGACAUCGAAAAUGGCCUGGGAACCCUGUGUGUUCCUUCUGCCAGCAAAUUGAAACUUCCCAGCACUUGUUUUUUGAAUGUUCUGUUGCCAGAGUGGUUUGGAGAUCUAUUGGAGUAACUCUGGGGACUGAUCUUUGCCCCAAAAAUUGCUGGCAGUUUUUUGUUUGGUGCUAUUCUUUCAUUCCUGAGUACGAACGCUUUUAUACAGUGGCCUUGGGCGCAGUCACCUGGUCCAUCUGGCUGGCACGGAAUCGUGCUACCUUUGAGAAGAAGAUGACCAAAUCUCCUUUUGAGAUUGUUUUUACGGUGGUUUCUUUCCUUCUUUAUUGGGCAGGGCUUCAGGUGGGAGACGACGUCAAGCAGCUUCGGGCAGGGGCGGAGAUGAUUCGCGAUGGGACGAUGAUGUUGAUGCGAGCCUGUGAUGCGACUAUCAAGAUUGGAGAAUGAACAAAGGAAAAAGGAGCUCCUCAAGCACCCCAUGCCUCGCGCUGCAUCUUUUACCACCCCUGUUCGUUGGAACAGUGGGCUUCUGUCUGAACUUCGGCUCCUGGUGUUUUGCUGUCAUUCUCUCUUGUGACUUCUGGGCUGUCAUCUGUAAUAGGUCUAGAUGUUUGGUGCUACUAGGUUUUCGCCCCAUAGUGGCCGUUUCGAUGGUGAGCGGGCGCCGUGGGUUUCCUAGUAGUGUGUUGAACUCGCUCUCCCCCUCUCCUUGUUCUUAGUCUCACCCUUGUUAUCUCAGACUGGUUGUAUUUCCGUUCUAAGUAAUGGAAAGGGGGUUAGCCCGGUUCAAAAAAAAGCGGGGCACGACCUGGAGAAGGACUUGGAUGUUGACCCGGAUUUCUCUUCUAUUGUUGUGGUCUGCGCCUUGCCUGGCCAGUCCGCCUGUGACUCGCAUGGCCUUAAGCCUCUCGUUGCUACCGCUGUUCGUCAGAUGGUUUCCCCCUGCGUUAGGCCUCUCAUUGCUUGUCCUCGAGCCGACCGGCCACCUCCUCCGUCGUGGUUAGCUCUAGCCGCAUCCUUGCCAAGCCGACCUGCUUCAAGACCAUCCUCGCGUUGCCGAGUCGCCACGGAGAGCCGCCGUCCCCACGACGCCUGCCUCUGUUCUGAGGUUGCUCCGUUCCAAGUCGUCGUAGUUGUCGCGGCACCCAAGCCGUUUCGGCUUCAGUAUGGCUGCCCCAGCCACCUUCGUGUAAGCUCGCGCCCGCGAACCCGAGUCGCUGUGUUGAGCCGCCGUCGUACGCGCCCGUUUCCAGCAACGACACAAGCCACCCUGUCGCCACAGCCCCCGCGGCCGUUUAAAAUCACCGUCCAUGGCCGUGCUAAAGCCGCCUCGUGGAGAGCUACCGCUGGGGAGCCGCCCUGUGGGGCCGCAUGACGCUUCUUGCCUCCACUGCCGUCUCACCCUUGCGGUGAGCUGCCGCCCCUUUGCAGCCUUGAGCCGUCACUGUAAGCCGCCACGCUGACCGACCUUCAAGUAGCUGUUGCAGGCCACCGGCUGGCCGGUUUUCAGGUUGCUGCUCCAGAACGCCUGCACCAUGGAAGAGCCGCUGUAGCGGUCUCCAUUUCUGUCCGGAGAGUUCAUAGUACCGAUGUGAUUAGAUUUUUGAAAAAGAUUGAUGCGGUCAGAUUACCCCAACCAAGUUAAUGGUGUUACAACUACUACCAUCAGUAUUGCUGCUAUGUGCAAAACUCCAUGCACAGUUGCCAAAAACAUAUGGUGACCUUCAUCUACAUGUGAGGACCAAGAACCUUGUUAGUGGCCAUCCAACGCAAUCUAGCCUGCUGCUACUGGACUGGAGACACGCCAUGUCUACAACCAAACAACUCAUCCUGGCGGCCCCGCGCGUGUUCAAUGUAUUUGGGCUUCUCGUAUCAAAGCCAAAGAUCGCACCAGCAUCCGCUUAACAAAUACACACGCAGCCUGUCUGCGCCAGCGGUGUGUGCGCACCUACAAAUUCCAUCAGCUUCGUCAUGUGGCAUGUAAGAUGAAUAACUUCUGCUAGCACACGUCAUGGCAAUCUAACAUAUAAGGGCAUCUCCAGCCGCGCCCCCAACAGGGCCCCCAGGCCACUUUUUCGGCGCCGACGCCGAAAAAACGGCCCAGUCGCGCCCCCAGGACGCCGAAAAUUACCGGUUCGGACCUUUUUUCCACCCGGCGGUCACAGGCCGAACCCGGCGCACUGGGGAGCAGUUGGGGGCUCCGGCGCUAGGGAAAAGCACGCCUGGCCCACACCGACAGGGGAAAAUUCAAGGUUUUCUUCCCCCGACUCGCCUCGCACCCCCCGCGCCCUCGGCCACCACUAGCUAUAUCCCGGCGACGGCCGCCACCCUACUCCGUUAGAUAGCCAUUCCCCGCCAGAAAAUAGCAGCGCUUCGCUGAGGCAGCCCCUCCCACAGCAGCUGGGCCUUUCGGGCCGCCGUUUCCGGCCGCGGAGGCGCGGUUUAACGGCGGGUACACACCCACCGAGCGCAAGGUGUUCGCGUUUUGCCUGCCUCGGCGAUGGACUCGGAUGAUGAGGAAGAGCUCGCCGCGCUGCUGGAGGAGGAAGCCGCGGCCGACGUCCAGGAAGAAGAGUAUCUCAUGGUGCUCGCCACCCUCAGCCAGCUGCUGGCGAGCAAUGAAACGCCGCGGCGAGGUGGCUCGGUGCUGGGGCGGAUGAAAGCAAAGAACCGGCAUCGUCUCCAAGGCUACUACAUGCUCUACUCCGACUACUUCGUCGAUGCUCCACUUCAUGGCGAGAGAACAUUUCGGCGCCGUUAUCGGAUGUGCUGAAAGCUCUUCCUCAGGAUUGUGAAUUCCAUCCGGGAGUUCGACAACUACUUCAAGUGCAAGAUGGAUUGCACUGGCGCUCUUGGAUUCACCUCCAUCCAGAAGUGCACGACAACGAUGAGGAUGCUUGCAUACGGAGCUCCCAGUGAUUCACUCGACGACUAUGGGCGCAUGGCCGAGUCCACCAGCAUAGAGUGUUUCUAUAAGUUCUCUCGGGCAGUGGUGGCAGUGUUUGGGCCACAAUACUUGAGAACACCCAAUGCGGAAGACACUGCUCGGAUCCUAGCCCAGAAUGCAGCAAGAGGAUUUCCUGGGAUGCUUGGAAGUAUCGACUGCAUGCAUUGGAAAUGGAAGAAUUGCCCAUUUGGUUGGCAGGGGAUGUACAAAGGCGCCAAAGGCGGUUGCAGUGUGGUGCUUGAGGCGGUAGCCACACAGGACCUUUGGAUUUGGCACUCCUUCUUUGGUAUGCCAGGAACUCACAAUGACAUCAACGUGCUGCAGUGCUCUCCUAUUUUUGCCAAGCUCGUUGAGGGCCAUUCUCCUCCGGUGAACUUCAAGAUCAAUGGGCACCAAUACAACAAGGGGUACUACCUAGCAAAUGGCAUCUAUCCGAGAUGGUCGACAUUUGUGAAGACGAUCUCAAACCCUGCGACAGGAGGCAAGAACGUCUGGUUUGCGAAAGUUCAGGAGGCUUGCAGGAAGGAUGUCGAGCGGGCAUUUGGUGUGCUCCAAUCUUGAUUCGCUGUUGUUCGGUACCCCACUCAGACCUGGUCCAAAGAUCAAAUGUGGGAGAUUAUGACUUGCUGUGUCAUCUUGCAUAAUAUGAUCAUUGAGAGCGAGCAAGAAGACCCAGUGUUUGACACUAAACCAUACUACAGGCAGGGUCCUCUAGCCGAAGUUGAUCACCAGCUACCGGCAACUUGGACUGCCUAUCUCAGUAUGCGUCAGGAGAUCCGAGACCCACAGGUGCAUCAUCAACUGCAGGAAGAUCUGAUUGAGCACCUAUGGAGGCUCAAGGGGGACGCCGUGUGAUGAAAUAUGAGUUUUUAUUUGUUGAACUAUAUAAUUUGUAUUGAACUAUUUGUUGUUGUACUAUUUUGUUGAAAUAUUUGAUUUUUCUGUGAUGAAAUAUGUGAUAAGAAAUAAUUGUGUUGAUAAUUGAACGCCGAGACACGACGAAACCACGCCGAAUAUGGGCCUAUUCUCACCCAUAUGGGCCUAUUCUCGCCCAUAUGGGCCCUUUAUUCGCCGAAAUUGGGCUGCAAAGUGGGCCAAUUUCGGUGCCUGGGGGCGAGCUGGGGGCGACUAUUGGACGCAAAACCGCCCCAGCGUCGAUUGUAUCGCCAGCUCGCCCCAGAGGAUGAUUUUUAUGCGUCCUUGGGGGGCCAACGGCUGAAGACCCAAAGCCUCCUAGAGUGGUAGUCACAACAACUAAGGCAUCGAGCGCACGGUACCACGCGAGGGCGCACCGCACCACACGAGCGAAAUCCACAGCGAGCGAGCGAGGCCACAGCGAUCGAGCCAGAGGAAAAAAGGCAUCGAACCCUAGCCCCAAUCCACAGCCCCGCGCCUCUCGCUCCUCCCUCCCUCGUCCGCCGCCACUCCCUCCCACCUCCUCCUCCUGCGCCCUAGGAGCCCCGCCGGCGACUGCUACUCCUCCACCGCCUCGCCUCUUCCUCCUCCUCGCCUUCCCAUCGCUCGUCUUCAGGCCGCAGCGGUGGUUCCCGAUCUGAGCCGUCUUCAGGUGCGUGGAGCGACGGAGGUCGGCUCCCUCCUCCACGGUCGCGCGGCGGGAGAGGAGUCAGCCCCGGUGCUCUGCCUCUCCAUCCGUCUCCGCAAGCUAUCGUCCGAUGCCGUCAUUGCCCGCCAUCAUCUUCAUCUUGCUCGCUGCCUGCUUGCUAGAGAGCCAUGGCUUUCCUCGCUGUAGGUUCUGGCGUUCUGCCAUGGCUUUUCUUGUCCCGUCCCACUCGCCUCCCCCUCCUCGUCACCCUCCUCUCUCUCUCUCUCUCUUUCUCGCUCACUGCCAAGAAGCCGCCGGAGGAGGAACUCGACCUGGACGACCGCCGCUGGACGAAGAGCCCCGAAAAAAUCCCCCAACCACCCCUGCGCCACCGCCUCUUCACCUUCGACCACGGGUUGCAACGUACGGUCAGAGGACCAAGGUGUGGAUUCUCCCCCUUUCCCUUUUCCUUGAUUCUCAUUUGUUCCUCCAGCCCCUCCCAUCCUUGCCUACACAGCACACACACUCUCUCUCUCAUCUCGUGGAUGGGAAUGGCCAGCGUGGAUUAAUUAAUUUCAUCAUAUUUCUGUCAGAUUUGAUUUCAACAGCGGCGGUGGUGUCUUGCUGUUCUUUGCACAUAUUUCUGUCAGAUUUGAUUUAAUUUCAUCCUUGCUAUUCAUAUCUAUUAAUUAAUGACCUGUACAUACAUAUUUUAUCAUGUCUACUAACAAUCUCAUCAGUUUACAGUUCAUACAUCGGGUUAUUUUAUCCUGUUUUCUUCAGGUUUGAUUUAGGGUGUUCCUUUUUCCUUUUUCAGAUGUAUGCCAUAUGUGUAGCAAUAGUUCUAAAACACCCCCACUCCUUCUCUUCCUAUCAAUUUAAUCAGGACCCACUCUGGACCAUUUUCAGAAACCACUCUAAACCAUUUUCUGAAAAUUGAUAGGAAGAGAGUGAUUUUCAUAACAGCGGCUGCAGCCCCCAGGGUUAAUUAGAACCUAAAAUGUUUCCUUUAGUUUAUGAAAAAAGUCUAGAGUGGUUUCUGCAACUGCUGUUAUGUUUCAUUGAUUCAGUCCUAUAGUUGGAUGGUUCCAGUGGAUUUUACUAAAUGGUUUUGUAGAUUUAAUUAGUGAAAAGGCCUCAAUUGGUUUAUGAAACAUUGCUUGUCUGUUGGCAGUUGGAGCAUACUAGGCAAAUGGGCCUUGCCGUGAGUCGUGGUGCAACAGUGACCUCGAUGGGCAGGGCAAUGGUCAGAUACGAGUCAGCACCGAAGAUGACUGUAAGCACUCAAAAAAGUUUACCACGCUAGAGCUAUGUCAGGUACCUACUGUUCUUUUGUGCUUUUUGUUUUCUAUUUCCCGUCAGAAGCUCAUUCGAUAAUCAAUUUGCAGGUUGUAUGAGGGCAGUUAAUGAAUAUACUUGUGACACUUAAACUCUCAGGCAAGCUUGCUCUCAGGUAAAUUACUAAUCAUUCAAAUCACUAAUCAGGUAAAGCACAAUAAUAAGCCCACCAGUCAUAGCAGAGGAAAAAUAACCACGAAGUGAAAAUAGAUUGUGAAAAUUAGACAGCUCAGACGAUGUAAAAGACAGAAUCGGACGACCAGCGAGUUUUCAAUCUGGGGGAGCUCGGAGUAGCCGAGUUGCCCAGCCAGAUUAAUUUUUAUUGGGCAUUCAGAUUCUUAUUUUGCGUUUCGUAGAUUUUUAGCUGGGUGUAUAAACAUACACAGACACACUGACUUCUGAUUUCAGUGACGGGGGUAAAUUAUUGUGCCAUAUAUAUUGUUGCCAUAUUUAGUAAUCAUGCAUAUACAUGUACAUUGGUUUUUAUCAAAUGUACAUGUGCUCCUGUAGCAUAUCUUCAGGUUUGGGGAUUUAAAUGCCCUUUGUUUUGUGUACCAGGUGGUUAACUGAGAUUUUGUUUGCUUAUUCUACUGUUUUUUUAGCAAUGCCAACAAACAUGGUUUAUGAUGAUAUUGGUGGUCUGAAGCUUUAGAUCGUCGGGGCUGCUCUCAUUUGUUCAAUUUGCCAGUGAUCCUUCCAUUCUACUGCUGCUCAUUAUUAUCACAUGAAGGAGGUGUUCUUCCGUUACAAUACUCCUGACGUGUUCCAUGAAAUGUCUAUGAGCUGGUAUGUUGUUCAUUCUCUCUUUUUUUUCUUCUUGCAGGCUGAUCUAUGUUCUCUGUUUGUUGGGUCCUCCGUGUCAUUAUGAACAAGGUUGGGUCUCUCUUGCUCAGUUUUUGUCUACUAAAAGUGAUGUGAGCUGAUGUGCUUGUUUGGGCGGUCUCCCUGUGUGUGUGAUAUUUGUUUGCAUAUCAACCCUGUGUGCUUGAAAUUUACUUGCAUAUCAUGAUAUCAAACGAGGAUGUGUUCUUGUUUACCUCUUGAAUAGACAGAUCUUGGUGCAUUACUGGUACCGUGCCUCUAGGUGGUCAGGGAGGGUCGCACUUGCGCUAUGCUUCCCUCUGGAUUCUAGCAUGGUGUUCGGGUGCCUAGCUUAGUUCAGUUCUGAGUCGAAAGCAACGAAAUCAUAUGUUUCUGAAUCUUGGAUAUACCUUACAAUGCAGCGGCCCAUCCUUGUCGUGCCUGGACUGGCUAGAUCGAUUAGAGUUUGUCUAAUAUGCCUUCGGUAAUCAGCAGCAACACACGAGAUCCUGGAACCUGCAUUAGUUAUUGUUUGCACAAUAAUUACUUAUUGAUAUCAUUACCAAGCUAUCCGAGCCAUCAAUCUCCGGACACCACUUGGUUUCCUUGCCCAUUUAUUCAUCGGAUCUGUACACAAUCGACAGGAUUGACUUCAGAUCUUACAUAAGGUUUCAUAAAGAUAGUUCAGAACCUAAGCUAUACAAAGUUUUACAAACAAAAUCUACACAGACUCAUGGAUUUGAAACUGAAAGAUAUUAUGUGAUGCAUCUCUCCAAAAAUCCAGCAUAAUUAUAUAGAGGAAACAUAUAUUCCCAGAAAUUUACGGUCGCGGUCGAGAGCAACGGCGAGUGUAGAGCAAGCCUGUGGGAGGGUUUUUCUGAAAGCAAGCCCUCAGCUCGCCCCGACAACCUUUCCCUGUCAGCUUCGCUCCCCUCUUCCUCCUCUUUGCUUAGAAUUGUUUUAUUGUCAUUCAUAUUCUGUAUUAAAUUCUGAUGAGGUUUCUGCUUGUUAGAUUAAAUUCUAGCCAAGACUAAACUGUAGCCACAAGAAGGCAGGAUUCUACUUGUUUAGUCUAAAAAAGAGUUUUUGACUUAUUUGAUUAGAUUCUAAGUCAGCUUUUGGGGGGGACUUUAGAUACAAUCUGUUAGUUGAAAAAAAUAUGUGUUCUUGCGCUUGAGAAAUUGCUGCCACUGUUACUGUAUCAUAUAUGAAUAUGUACAAGGCAUCAGAAAGCACAAGUAGCAGGAACAAUUAGUUCAGUUUUAAUAUUAUAGUGCUACUCAUCCUAAAUUGUGUUAAUUAAUCUGCUAGACUAUGGUGAUGACAGAGGGGUACUGUUUUUUAAAAUUGUUUCUUUGUUCCAAUUAUAAAGGGCCCUCUGCAAGGAUAUUGAUUUCAUCAUGUGUAGAAGUUUAGUUGGACAGAUAUUGUUCGUCAGUUUCUUAGUGCGUGCCUAGCUGUUUCCCCUUUUUACAUUGCUUAUUUUCUAUAGGAUUUCUUGAAAGAUAAUAGCUUGCUUCAACAAUUGUAGAACGAUCAUGGUUUCUUUGCAUUUCUGUACUUUUAUACGAUUAACAAUUUCAUGGCUAUCCUGUGUAAGAAACAGACAUCAUUGGCAUUGGCCAAUGCAUUUGCGUUAAAUGCCCUGUUGGCCGAGUGAUGUAGUCCUAUUGUGAAGAUGCUUAUUGUUUCAUUUCUGUAAUGUAGGAACAUGUAUAUCCUUUCAAGUUCACUGAUGCGGUUACCACUACAACACACGUCCCUCCAAGGACCAAGGGUGGGCAUGAUCUUCUACAAGGUUGUUGUCUGUGACUAUUAGUACGGGAUCAACUUUGCGGUGUCCCCAUCGCUUCAAGUCAAGCUAAUAGAGCUAAAUGGGUAUCCAAUUUUAGAAAGCACACUUAAGAAACAUGAACACGUGUCUUUAGAUCCUAUGGAGCAUUCCUAAUAAUGACCAUCUAUUUAACUAUCUUGGAUCAUUACCAUUACAAAAUGCAGCAUGGCAUUCAUAAUGUUCAGUUAUUCAUAAAUGUGGCAUUUAAUUAUUCUCCUGGCAUGAUAUUUAAGCAUGUUGCAUAUACCAAUCUGUUGAUAAUUCAAUUAUUGAUUCUGAUGUACAAACAUGCAAAACCAUUGCCUGUUUGGAUGAUGCACAUGAGUAUGUUUUUGUUAGUUUUCGGUGAUGUACGUCGUGAAGCGGGACGGGCGGACGGAGACGGUGCACUUUGACAAGAUCACGGUGCGGCUCAAGAAGCUCAGCAAUGGGCUCAGCCAGGAGCACCGCAACCCCGUGCUCGGUCUGCGUCAGGGUAUACAUGGGCGUCACCACCAGCCAGCUCACCACCGAGACCGCCGCCGCGCUCACCGCCUCCCAGCCUGACUAUGCCUCCGUACGUUCCCUCUUUCGAUCUGUCUCUCCCCUUCCGGUCCGUUCCGUUCCCCCUCACGGCGCCCGUGUUCGUGUGUCCUGGUCUGACGUAUGUGCGUGUGUGGUUCUUCUGCAGCUCGCGGCGAGGAUUGUUGUGUCCAACCUGCCGCCAAGUGGAAAUAGUUUGUGUGGCGCUCGUAAAUAGAGAGCAUUCUGGUAGAAAGGUACAGGAAAGAAUAGGGAAACUUUUGUCAUUUUCUUUGGUCUCUGAAAAAUAAAUGGUGAUAUGGGCUGAUACAUUGCUAAAUUACAUGAUACAAACUCACUUCUUUUUUGAUUUUUGGUUUACUUUGUUGUGCUACAAUGGCUCUCCUAGGAAUGUUCUUCCAUGCUUUGAUGUGCACAAUCCAGAAAGUGCAUGCAUCCAGAAACCAAAUAGGAUUUUUUUGUGUUAUCUUCUCUUAAAUCUUGUGCUUGUCCAAUAAGAAUAAGGUUUGGUGGUAUUGCUUUUGUCUGUCACCUGGUAGAUUUCAGACUUCAAGCUAGCUGCAGUUAUUUCAGGUUCUAUGUGCAAAUCCUUGGUGUGACAUGAUUGGUAACUAACCAUGAAUACGUUACAAUCUGAUAUGUCUAAUUCUUGAUUUAUGUGGUACCAUGGUCUAAAAAUUGGUCCUAAAGAUACAUGAUGUUUUUGUACAAAGUUGAGACAGUUAUUUUGGAACGGAGGG